Perognathus longimembris pacificus (Pacific pocket mouse) is the source of this 222-nucleotide long non-coding RNA. RefSeq lists it as uncharacterized. The transcript is spliced from 3 exons. Lineage: Eukaryota; Metazoa; Chordata; Mammalia; Rodentia; Heteromyidae. The record is from RefSeq and is a predicted model, not a curated record.
CGCAGAGCAGCGGGGAGAGCAUCAAUCCUCCGGUUUCCACCACUAGGACAGGCUGGGACCAGGGGCCAGGGCACUGGGACAAAGCCCCUCGGAGGCUGAGGCACAUUCUCACGCUGCUCGGAGCUAAAAAUGGCUCCGUGGGAACGGAGCGGCAGAGUCAGGGAGGGAAUGACGGGUGAGCAGGUGAGGAAGGCCGGGGGGGGGGGGGGGGGGGGGGGAAGU